AUAUUUUAGUCUAUGAAUUUAACUUUUUUUAUGACAUGGAAAUGAAAAUACUCAAGUUUUAAAUCCUAGCUCCGCCACUGUUUAUAUUUAUAUCAUAUAAACACAGGACGGCUUUUUUUUAUUUCUUAUGAUAAAUAACAGGAUUCAUGGUCAUUUAGAUUUAGGGGGCAAGCAGACAAACUUUGGGGCAGCGGCAAUCUCUCCAGCAACCCUCCCUCGUCGGAUAACAAUUGUCGAAUGAACAGCAGUAGCAGAUAACUUCAGAUGAUCCCUUUUGGCAGGUCCCGAUCUCGCAUGGGCACACAUGAACAACAUUCCGAGCUGCAUGCAUAUAAGGGCAUUCACUUAAACAAUUAGUUAAUGUAAACCUAAUUUCUACAGUACUUUUAACGUCGUUUCUCUGUUUCUCGAAUUGGAUAUAUUGUGGAAACAACUCAUAUUUUUAUUUACUAAAAACUAAUAAUAAGUAACUUCAUCCAAAUGCGCCUGGAUGUUUGAUGUGCACUUACAGUGUGUAGGAAUCAUGAAACAUCCCAAAAUGACAAUGAAGAGUAUGACCGUCUUGCUUCCAUCCAUUGUAAUUUAUUUCUAGGAGUUUCUCCAGAUCAGAG
This 611-nucleotide long non-coding RNA is filed under the name Sorghum bicolor (sorghum). RNAcentral describes it as "long non-coding RNA (SBIC_LNC015085)". Lineage: Eukaryota; Viridiplantae; Streptophyta; Magnoliopsida; Poales; Poaceae. The record is from RNAcentral.